AGAGAGAGAGAGAGAACUUCUUGAGGCGUUGACUCCCAUUGAAUGAAGCAGCAAUACACGAUGAGCUAUGGCCGAAGCUGUGUUGUUGAGGUUCUUGAGUAGACGCCAUUGUUCAAGGCUCGGUUGUCUUUUUUCUGCUCUGCAUCAACCAACAGGAUGAUGGGAUUUCUUUUGUUCAGCAUCAUAAAAUCUUAUCUAUUGAAUAUGUCAGAAUUCAGAAGUAAUAAAGACCCUUCGAGCAUGAGCUGUGUUGUCAUAUGGACACGUUAGAGACAGAAAGAGAGAGAGACUCCAGCAUCUUCUUGAAACUCUGAUCGCAUCAUGUGGUGGUUAGCAGUUGGUAAUGGCAAACUGUCUGCAACUAUAGUUUUCAAGCUUUGGUAAGAAAAAAAUUUGGAAGAAGAAAAAAUUCUCAACAUACUACUUUGUGCUUCUUCUUCUUCUUCUUCUUCUUCUUUUUUUUUGGUCAUAUUUGUCAUAGAUGAUUUCUCAGAUUCCAUCAUGCCACAAAAUAACGACAACGAGAUAUGGAAGAUUGAGCAGUUGAGAACCGACAAUAAACUUUAUACAUGGUCCAAACCCAACUCAGUUUUGCUGCUAAUUACUGAUACAAGGUUUAAAUCAGGAGAGAAAAUAAACUUCGCUUAACCUUAGCUAAAAAGUAUUGUAUUCAUAAAAUUUGCACCUAGUGUACGCAAUAUUUGAGUGCACCUGAUUGCUGUGAGCGGAAUGCAUAUUGGCAAUCCUAUAUGGAGCCUAUCAAAUUUAGCACCCCUGAGUCACCGUGCUGGGGUGAACCGGAUGCAUCUAAUGGUUUCUCGUUCCGAAAUAGCAUACCUCAACACGAGCCCGCCUAGUGCUCGGGCUCCGCCGGGCUAGAUCGGCUCAAACGACCUACUCGGGCAAGCUUCAGAAGGCCAUUCUUUACGUAGAAAGCACGACCAGGCACGUCCAGGUUUGGAGCACGCCUCGGCCCGACUCAGCCGGUCGAAUCAAGCCCCCAACGUAUUUACUUCUCAACAAAUUCCGGCACCUUAUAACUUGUACAUCUACAUUUGAAACUCUCAUGGGGCUAACGAACGUCGGAUCACUCUUAAUAAAGGGACCCGAUCAAAGGCCCAAAGUUGAAGAGUAAAGCCCAAUCCAACCGGUCCUCCUUGAACACAUGGGCCUCGGCCUCUUCACCAGGAUGUAUUGCGAUGAGCCCAAUGUAUUGCAAUUCAACUCGGUAGACUUUGAGGCCCAUUUGUGCUCCAUCUCGAAUCUAAUCUUGCUCCUAGAUUAAGCUAGUGUAAAAGUUCGAUUGUUCAAAUCAGCGAAACUCCUGUUCAAAAAAAAAAAAAAAUCAGCGAAACUGUUUUCUAAAAAAAAAAGAAAAAAAAUAUAGAGAGAAAUGAUUCUGUGAGUAUUUUUAAUUUACUGUGAAAAUAGCAAUUUAUUCAAAACUAUGAAAACUAAGUAACAAAUAAUUAUACCACCCACCUGGGUAGCGCUGUUGGCGGCGUGCUUCUCCCCCUAACGCAAGGGGAGGAGUUCGAUUCCCGAGCGUCGCAGGGUGACUUAUUCGGUGGCACAUGUGUGGUGGCUAGCACGUGUUGUCCCUAAGGUUUAUUCCUCGUUACCUCAGGCCUUUCGAACUGUCUGUGUUGGUAUGGUGCGUAGAUUCUCUGGGUCACAAAAAAAAAGCAAUAAAUAAUUAUAAAUUAUUAUGGGGUUCACUUACUCAAGAAAUUUUUUUGGUCAAAAACUUUUUCAAAAAUUUGUGACUUAAAACAAACUGUUAUUCAUAUAGUUACUCAAAAAUUAUAAUACUAGCAAACUCUAAAAAAUAAAAAUCAGUAAAACUAACCCGCGGGCUUGAGGGACAGGAAGAAGCACUGAAAAAUGGUGGUCUAGACUCUAGCUAGCCUCGCCUUAUGUGAAACAGGACAUAUUGAAGCCUUUUGCUCAUGCACAUCCCAGGCAACGCGCGACUUUGUCCUUGUCGGGAUGAUCACUAUGUAUUGUCCUCGACCUUGUUACAAAAGGUUUGCUGUAUUCAUCAUUGGUUCUCGAUCAAAUGGAGUUCACCUCCAUGCAAAAAUAUGAUGGUGACCAUGACAACGACGACGACGAAGAGUCCAUCCUCACCAAUAUGUUUGAUAAAAAUAUGUAAAAAUCGCAAGACUAGCGACAAAUUCAUAUGCCACUCUCCAACAAAAUGUCACUCAAACAUUAUCUUGUUACAACAUAUCUUUCAUGAAUGUAUUAUAGCUGUCGUCGUCGUCGUUUGUUCUCGUAAUCAUCCAAAAUAUAAUUUCCUACCAUUUAUCAUGAUCUCACUUGUAAAAAUAUAAUAUUCAAGAAAAAAGAAAGAAAUAAUUAUUGCGAGAACCGGACUAAACUAAAUUCCCAAUUAAAUUAAAGCUGUCAUUGACCUCAUCUUGUUGCUUAUGGUCAGGACGGUAAUUAAAAGACAGAGACUAAUGACCUAACUAAAACGUAAAUCUUGUACCAUAAAAACUCAGAUUCUAAUCCAAAUCAAGCUCGGAUUUCUUAACCUAAAAGGAACUCGAAGCCCCUCCCCCACGCCCCGCCAGCGUCGGUCGCCCGUCAUUCCAGCGAAAUCCCGAGACCGCCCUUCCCUCUGGCGGGGGGCAAGGCCGCGAUUCCGGCGAGCCACGUGCCCAGGAACGUAAAUUCGCCCCUCCCCCCAAGUCGUCGCCCCGCUCACUGAGAAAAGUCGUCACUAAAUUGAUUUUUAAUUAAUUUUAAAUUAUUUUCUCUCUUUUUUUUUGGGGGGGAGGAAUAAAUCCAGUCGUCUUCUUCCUUCCUUCUUCCUCCUCACGCCCUUCGCAGAUCGAAGAGAGAGAGAGAGACAGAGAGCGUCGCCGUCUCCGAUCCGAGAUCCGAUCUCUCUCUAGAAUCCCCAGAUCCGGCGCCGCCGCCGCCGCCGCCGCCGCCGCCGCAUGGCGAUCCCCGCCGCGCUCCGCCUCGCGGUCCUCCUCGGCGUCGUCCUAUCGGCGGUGGUCGCCGAGAUCCGGUUCUCCGAGAUCCGAUCCGACGGCCGGGGCAUCAUCCUGCUCGACGAGUUCGGGUUCACCCACCGGGGCCGGCUCGAGCUCAACGUCUCCGGCGUCGCGCUGUCGAAGACCGGGCUCGACCUCGCCGGCGUCGGGUUCUUCCUCUGCACCCGGGACUCGUGGUUCAACGUGCGGAAGCAGC
This 3204-nucleotide long non-coding RNA is filed under the name Eucalyptus grandis. Its description in RNAcentral is "long non-coding RNA (EGRA_LNC002627)". Lineage: Eukaryota; Viridiplantae; Streptophyta; Magnoliopsida; Myrtales; Myrtaceae. The record is from RNAcentral.